UACAGAGGUCCCAAGCGUUGUUCGGAUUCAUUGGGCGUAAAGGGUGCGUAGGUGGCGCUGUAAGUCGGGUGUGAAAUCUCGGGGCUUAACUCCGAAACUGCAUUCGAUACUGCCGUGCUUGAGGACUGGAGAGGAGACUGGAAUUUACGGUGUAGCGGUGAAAUGCGUAGAUAUCGUAAGGAAGACCAGUGGCGAAGGCGGGUCUCUGGACAGUUCCUGACGCUGAGGCACGAAGGCCAGGGGAGCAAACGGG
Molecule: ribosomal RNA, 253 nt
Filed under: uncultured bacterium
Lineage: Bacteria
Description: partial 16S ribosomal RNA
Rfam family: Bacterial small subunit ribosomal RNA
Source: RNAcentral